Long non-coding RNA from Coffea eugenioides, 1652 nucleotides. RefSeq lists it as uncharacterized. NCBI's taxonomy places the organism in Eukaryota, Viridiplantae, Streptophyta, Magnoliopsida, Gentianales, Rubiaceae. The transcript is spliced from 6 exons. The record is from RefSeq and is a predicted model, not a curated record.
ACUUACUGUCUUUACUUUUUCAAAGUCCUACAAUUCCUUGCUGGAUGGCAUUCUCUUUUUCUCUGUGCCUCAGAUGGCCAAAGUCUGAGAUAUCCAUUGGGAGUUUCUUUUCCCAACUUAUGUAAUGUCUCUCAAGAUCAAGAGCCAUCAUUACCGUGAAUUUCUGCUGAUGAUUAUGGGCAGUUUGGUUGGUGAUAGAGUUUUAGAGAAACAGACUGACAAUGAGAAGCUUGCAAAUUUUCAAUUGCUGUAGGUUUAUAGCUCUGUAGGGAACCUUGAUGGCUCCUAAUCACCGCCUUUACUUUUCAAAGUCCUUUCUUUCCUUUGAAGUAUAUCAAGUGAUAAUUGGAGCAGCAACAGAGUAGUACGAAAGAUUUCAGGAGUUUUCAGAGCUGUUGGUCAUCAAAUUGGUGUUUGUUGUAGUGUCUGCCAUGGAAGAUGUACUAUUCAUGCAGUGAAUCUGCACAGAAUUGUUAGAGUGCAAGUUUUGAGACUGCCAAGCGUACUUGUUGGCUGCUGCCACUUGCUGCAAUUAUUUCAUCAGCUGUGAUGAAGGCUAUUAAGCUCAUUCUGCCUUCUACACUUGUUGGGUUGCUCCUCUCUUCAUGUAGGUUUACGCUCAAAGAUCAACAUUAAACUUGAUAGCUCUUGCUUACUAUCCUUGGUAUACGAUCCCUUGCUGAACCAGAUCCUGUUUCAGUUAGAUCAGAUUCCCUUUUGCUCUCUGCCUCGGAUGGCCAAAGCCUGAGAUCUUCCUUGUCAGCGCGGUGAUUUUAAACUUUCCAACCGAUUCAGCAAUUUGUAGACAUGUUGGUCAUCACUUUUAACUUUUGAUUCAAAAAUUCUGGUAAUUUUAGAUAUGCUUCUCUUCGUUCAUUACUCAAUUUUGCCUUUUAACCACUUUAAUGUCCAAUUUAUUAUGUAUAAAACAAAAGAAAUCUUGUCGCCACAGAGAUAUUUUUGAGGUAACCAAGGAUGAUGUACCGUUCAAGAAAUGAAGUUGUACAAACCUACUUAAGCUAUUUAAGUCUGCUUGUUGCGACUUCAUGUUUUUAAUGAAUCCACCUUGAUAAAGUCUCUUAAGCUUUCUCUGCUUUUAUGACUGUUGGCUGCUUCUUUUUUUUAUGGUAAGUUUCUUGUUUUGGGGCUUUAGUUACAAUGACAGAAAACUUGCAAUUAUCUGAAAAUUUCCAUUAGCUUUAUUCUACCCUGAAUGCCAUCCUGAGCUUGAGUUUUGGUGCUUUGCAGUGAUAUUAGGCACAAAGCUCAACAAGGAACCUCAUUGAUGGCUGUUACUUAUGUCUUUAAUAUCACAAAGCUCAACAGGGAACUGCAUCGACGGCUCUUACUUACUAUCUUUACAUUUUGAAAGUCCUAUGAUUCCUUGCUCAAAAAGAUCUUGCUUCAGUUGGAUAGUAACAUCUAGGAUGGCAUUCUCUUCUGCUAUGUGCCUAGAUGGCCAAAGUUAGAGAUUUUCAUUGGGGGUAUGGUGAUUUUAAACUGUCCAAAUGAUUCAGCGAUUUGUAGUCAUGAUAAUGAGGUGCUGAUUUACAUGUUUUAGAACUCAAUUUGUCAUCUCUCGCAUACUGCUCUGUUGUUCCUCAAUGUGAAAUGUUUUGCAUGUGCUACAAAUUGCCUAUCAUUAUUUUCAA